Molecule: ribosomal RNA, 273 nt
Filed under: uncultured bacterium
Lineage: Bacteria
Description: partial small subunit ribosomal RNA
Rfam family: Bacterial small subunit ribosomal RNA
Source: RNAcentral
AGGACGAACGCUGGCGGCGUGCUUAACACAUGCAAGUCGAGGGCACUUUGGGGGCAACUCUGGAGUGACCGGCGAACGGGUGCGUAACACGUGAGCGACCUUGCCUCGUGGUGGGGGAUAGCCGGCCCAACGGCCGGGUAAUACCGCAUAUGGUAGUUUCUUCGCAUGGGGGAGACUAGCAAAGCCUUGGAGCAAUCCAAUGGCGCCACAGGGAGGGCUCGCGGCCUAUCAGCUAGUUGGGGGGGUAAUGGCCCACCAAGGCGACGACGGGUA